CAACAGUGGCCCUUGUGGUGUGAUACUCUUGUGGUAUUUAUUGAUCAUUAUUUUUUAAUGAUCAUGCUUGCACACAAGUUGGAUUAUAUUGCACAUUUGCCCAAGAUUACAGUAGGUAACAUGGAAGAAAAAGGAAGCACUUUGGGGGAAAAAUCCGCUUUUUCCAUUUUUAAGAAUAUAGUGUUAAAAUGGACAAAAUAACAUUUUCUAAGCUGACAACCUGUCUAGAACUCAUGUUGAGGGGUUAAAUAUCAAUACUGGAUAGGUUGUAUGCUUGUACCAAAAAGUGUCCGACAAAGUUUUAAUAUCAGUUUUGGCCCCCUGACUAAUAUAGCAUUUAAUAUGUGUGCAUGUACUGUAUUUGUGUCUGUAACUGUUUAGUUUAUCCCCUCCUUUCAUGUGUCUGUUAUGACUUUGUGGGCUCAACUGUCAACAACUGUCCAGGGCAAAGUCGGUCUACCCUGAUGGCACUACCUGAUGGCACUACCCUGAUGAUGUCUGUUAGCCAUGGCUGCUGCCCUCAACAUGGUGAGCCAUCCAGAAGUCCCAGCCUGGAGCCAGAGGCUGCUAUUGCAAGUCAGAUGGGAGAUGGCCUACAGUAUGUUAGGCAUCAGAAAAGUGGUGUACGCAUGAAGGCAGAGUUGCCGCAGGCAAUUAUGAGAUUAGACACUUGACAUUUACUGCCAAAGGUACCAUCAGAGCACCUCUCCCUACCCUGCAGGAUAUCUAUACCAGAAGAGUACAACAACGGCCCAAAAGUAUUUCAAAAGACAUUUCACGCUCUGACCACGAACUGUUUAAACCACUGAGGUCAAGCAGACGUCUCUGUUCCCACGUGGCAGACUGAGGGAACACCCACAAAACAGACUGGGGAUGAGUUUCUUUACUCCGCAUCCUGUACACACACAACUCCUUAUACUACAUUACAUAGACUUGCCAGUUGCCAUACUGCACUUACACACACUGCGCUUUUAACCCCCUUAUCUGUGUCAAAUCAGAUAAGGUUGUGGUUGUGUUCAAACCAUGUCUACUGUUGUCUGUCAACAUCCACUUCAGUCAUACAUUUGAAAUGUCUUAAAUAAAUAACAAAAGUUAAAAUUG
Long non-coding RNA from Sardina pilchardus (European sardine), 1101 nucleotides. RefSeq lists it as uncharacterized. The record is from RefSeq and is a predicted model, not a curated record. The transcript has 3 exons. NCBI's taxonomy places the organism in Eukaryota, Metazoa, Chordata, Actinopteri, Clupeiformes, Clupeidae.